CACUCCUACGGGAGGCAGCAGUGGGGAAUAUUGGACAAUGGGCGCAAGCCUGAUCCAGCCAUGCCGCGUGAGUGAUGAAGGCCCUAGGGUUGUAAAGCUCUUUCACCGGUGAAGAUAAUGACGGUAACCGGAGAAGAAGCCCCGGCUAACUUCGUGCCAGCAGCCGCGGUAAUACGAAGGGGGCUAGCGUUGUUCGGAUUUACUGGGCGUAAAGCGCACGUAGGCGGACUAUUAAGUCAGGGGUGAAAUCCCGGGGCUCAACCCCGGAACUGCCUUUGAUACUGGUAGUCUUGAGUUCGAGAGAGGUGAGUGGAAUUCCGAGUGUAGAGGUGAAAUUCGUAGAUAUUCGGAGGAACACCAGUGGCGAAGGCGGCUCACUGGCUCGAUACUGACGCUGAGGUGCGAAAGCGUGGGGAGCAAACAGGAUUAGAUACCCCAGUAGUCCCAUG
Molecule: ribosomal RNA, 449 nt
Filed under: uncultured organism
Description: partial 16S ribosomal RNA
Rfam family: Bacterial small subunit ribosomal RNA
Source: RNAcentral